Ictidomys tridecemlineatus (thirteen-lined ground squirrel) is the source of this 3322-nucleotide non-coding RNA. The record is from RefSeq and is a predicted model, not a curated record. NCBI's taxonomy places the organism in Eukaryota, Metazoa, Chordata, Mammalia, Rodentia, Sciuridae.
CUGGAAAGGGAAGGAGAGAGAUUUUUGAGGUAACCAAUAUUUUAAAACUCAUUUACAGUGAUGGUUCUAACUCGGCCAAUUUAUUAACAGCCGUUGGAUGGCACAUUUUAAAUGGGUGAGGUUUAUGGUAUGUCAAUUAUGCUUCAAUAAAGCUGAUUAAAAAAAAAAAGAAAGAAAAUCAAGGGAGGUAAGUGCAAGAAUUUUCAAGACUCUGUGUUAUUUCUGAACUAAAAUGAGCCUUGUCCUCUCUUGGAAUCAAUUAGCAUGACUGAAGCUGAGAGUGCCUUGCCUGCUGGGAAUAAAAGCCAGAAUGACACAGGCUUGGAAGAAGAGGAAAUAAGGGGGAAAAGAUAAGGGAGAAAAGCUUCACUCACGCCCUGGAGUUGCUUGCUUACUGAACUGGGCUCCAUUCAAAGACACCAAGGAUUAUUAGGGAAAAAAGAAGAAGCAGGACAAAUUGGGACAUAGUAAAAACAUCUUAACAGAAAUACACACGCAAUGCUACGGAAGAUUUUAAAAGCAAGAAAGCAUAUCCUGUUGUGAGUUGUUCCAGAAAGGCCUUUUGAAGAGGUGCUACUUAUAAGCUUGGUCCCCGCACAUUUCCGUCAAUGUCUGCAGUGAUUCGGCUAUUCCCCGGACUAGGAAUGAAGUGGCGGUGGAUGAAGUUGCUUAAGGUCACAAGCCAGGAUUUACAGAGAGGACAGACAAGUUUCUUCUAGGUCUCCCUCAUGGCCAACUUUUCCUAAAAGUUUUCUUGUUGCUUUCCUGACUGUAUGAGUAUUUUCUGUUCCUCUGGCAUCAAACCCACACAUGAUUUCAAAAGUAAUAGCCACAUAAACUGUUAAAUAUGUGUUGGUUUAAUAUAUGAUAAAUUUCUUGGCUUAAUGUUCUAAAAUCAAUCCCCACCACACAAAAUCACCCUCCCUGGUUUGUCUUUUGGAAAUGAUCAAAUAAGGAUAAAUAUCUCUAGGUUUUUUUAGAAAAACCCAGCCAGAUUUCACAGCAGAGAGGUGUGAUAUCAACAAUACAUACGUCUAUUCUGAUCCUUUUCCUAAUUUGCUUAGGAAAGGUACUUUGUACAGUAUUAAACUAAUUUUUGAAGUAGAAAUCAAUACCCAAACCAAGACAAUUCAGUGGCAAGCUCAGUAAUCCAAACAAACUCUCAGGAAGAAAGAACACAACACUGAGAAUCCACUGUGUGUCAGCAGCCAGGAAAAGCAGCAUAAGAGAUCUGGUCAUGUUUUCCAUUCAGGGACUCGAACAUUUCAGAAGGUCAUGGCUGAGUUCAAGGGCUGGAACUUUAAUAUUCCAUGAAUUCAGUGGAAAGACCUCCAGUUUCCCUUCCACCCAACGUGAUGAUUACACAGACCCAGAAAAGCAGAACUUUCUUUUGGAACAUAAAAACUUGUUCUUCUGUAGGAUUCUACAAUUCUCUCCCCUUUUCUCCUCUUCUCUAAUGAAACGUGGGAUACUGGCAGCAGGUCACACUAUUCUAAGCAUAAAUCCACUCGAGGGAAGGAGUAGAAAUCAUGGUCACUCCCUUAGAAAAAGUAAUAAAUGAAUGCAUACAUUUAGAAGAAGUAGGAGAUUUCAUUCAAGGAAUUUAGUCAUGAUGAUCUAACAGGAAGGGCAGUCACAAUAGAAAAUGUCCUUGUCCUCUAUCUUCUAUGCUAUAGUCAUUUAGCACCUGAGUUUUUACAAUGACCCCCGUAUUUAUAUUCACAAUGCACCAUUUCUCUCUCUCUCUCUCUCUCUCUCUCUCUCUCUAUAUAUAUAUAUAUAUAUAUAUAUAUAUAUAUAUAUCAGUUAGUAGACACUAAUUUUUGUUACUAUAAAUAUCUAUCAUUGAUAACCUAUCUUCCUUCAUCCCUGAAGUUUCAACCAGUCUUUACUAUUCUAGCACACUUCCAAGCCUAAUUAUAUUAUUACUCUAGCAUACCCUCAUUCUUAAUGUAUUAUUACCCAAGCAUAUGCCCCACCCUUACUGUAUCAUUACUCCAUCCAUCUUCUACCCUUAUAGCAUCAGUACUCCAGCACAUACUCCACCAUAUUCCUCUAGCACAUCCCCCAGGCCUUACUAAUCCUCUUUCCUUCCACAAGCCUCGCUUGGUUUAAGGACACUUAAAUCUAACAGUAAUGCUGUGUUUAUUUAUUAAACAUUGCAGUGGUAAAUAGUAAGUGUAUAUAUUGUUUUAAGAGUGAUAAUAGAGGAAACAUUAACCUCUGGGGUGCUAGUGGACUAUUCAGCUAUAUUAUAUUUGUUUCACAUAAUGACUGUUGACUUUAUAAUAUUUAAACUUGGACCCUUUCCAGAUUUCCAAAGGAGAGGAUUAUUUUUGUUUUUGUUCUUUUUUGUUUGUUUGUUUGCAAUGGUAGAGCAGCAAGAGCUAUAUUCAAAGCAUAAGGUGGACGACGGUUACAUUUCCCUACUGUCAAUUUCUAUAUCCCAUUUCUAUGGAAAGAUGGGCGAUGACAUCGCUAAGCUGUUUCUUGCUGAAAGAGGGUGAAGUUGGGGGAGGUAAACCAAAGUCCUUGUUCUCUGUCAGGUGAGGUGUGGACAGUGAAGGUUAUUCAGCCUCAGGGCAGUCCAGAGGUCCACAGUGACAGAUGGCCAAUGACUGGACAGGUAUGCGUAGGAAGUUUGUUGUUUUUAAUGUUUCUAAUAACUGGAUUCUUAUCAUUUCAUUCUCAUGAGUCACAUUUCCCUCUUUCCUCUGACUCUAAAAAACUCAGAGACAAUCAACCUACCCCAGUGCAUAUGACUCUCCUAAAUGUGCAUUAAUUCUAGUCUUCGAUUUUUCUAUUUCCCAGCCCCAUUUCCUCAUUUAUUGUAUUUUUAUAUUCUGACGUGCAUCUCUGGAAUACUUCUCAGAUUCUUUCCGACAAGAAAAGGUAUACAUAAAAACAUAGACAAUUCCAUUUCUCGCUUUUCUUUACAAUGAUUUUGGAAAUGCCCUCUAAACUCCUGCAUUUGACUGUUGAAUGUCCCUUUCCACAUGCCAGGUCCUGGGAAGAUGCAUGCAAGCCAGUAGAGGCAGAGGGACUGUUCAGGCCUGUAUUCACACCAGAGUAUCACCCAAGCCUUCUCUUGAUCUUUGAUACUACAACAUUCUAUAAGGAGAAGUAACUUUCUCAUCAAAGGAAGCAGGAGAUCUAACUUUUCAACAAGGCAAACAACUUGAAAUAAGUGACUUUGAAAUGUAUGAUAUUAAGAGAGCUACUAGUUGGACUCAGAGUAUAGCUUAGGGGUAGAGUGUUUGCCUGGCACAUGUGAGGCCCUGGGUUUCAUCCCUAACUCCAAAGAAAGAAGAAAUGAAGAUGG